Carassius carassius (crucian carp) is the source of this 1001-nucleotide long non-coding RNA. RefSeq lists it as uncharacterized. The transcript has 3 exons. NCBI's taxonomy places the organism in Eukaryota, Metazoa, Chordata, Actinopteri, Cypriniformes, Cyprinidae. The record is from RefSeq and is a predicted model, not a curated record.
UAAUAAUAAUACAUAAUUAAUAUACAGCGCCGCCACUCCCACCACGCGCAUCACGCGCUGUGCGUCCACCCAUUCUCACUCCCAAAGCGUCAAAAACUGAAGCUUGGUCAAGCGCCUCUAGCGUCACUGACAUGAGAUGUUUAUCGCUAUGAAAUCACGUUCAAGAAGUCUCAUUCAGCACACAUCGCGAUACUUGCCAUCAGUUUACAAGAGCCGCAGGUUGGGUGAGUUAUACAGUCUAUGCUGAAAAGACGUAAAGGAAGCAGUCACCCCAGUGGUGUUUGUGGAGAGGUAUUCCUUCAGAAAUGGAGAAGACAGAAAGCUGCAGAGGCAGGAUUGCUUGCAGAUAACACUGUAGUUCUCCAUCAUGCACAAGGACUCACCUCUUUAACCCUUUACCCCCCCCCCCCCCCCCCCCCCCCCAAACACACACAGAAAUGGUUUCUGGAUCAGUGACUUUAGACUUUGCAGUGGUUUGAUUUAUGCAGAAGAUGUAACUUUGUUUUAAUUAAUCUUAUAAUGAAUACAUUGUGACCUUCCAGCAACCCAUAUACUGUACUGUAUACAUAACCAGUGAUGACAACAAUAGUUAAAAAUAGUAUUUAUCAUAUUGAUAAAGCAUUGUGUUCUCUUUUUCAAGCUUCAUAGAGUAAACUUUACUUCUGGUGCUUUUAUCAUAAAAAAAGCAUUAGUUCUCAUCAGGAGUUUUAGUAAAGGACAUAUUCAUGCACAGCCAUCCCCUAGUUCCAGUCAUGAAGUGAAUGAUGUUAUUGUUAAAGUUAUAUUUCUGCAUUUUUAUGUAGCAGGUGUUUGUUUUCCUGAACACUUUAUCUUUCUUCCAUUGUUCGGACAAUCAGUGUUUAUUUGAUGCUGUGCUGAUUGGGUUUUAUAGAUGAUAUUGCACACUUGACAUGCUUGUCUUCAUGAUGUUAUUUUGUGAGUUUGAAACAUUUACAUUGUGUUGUAUCACUUUUUGGUCAAUAGAAUUUUUAAAGAAAAUC